Molecule: long non-coding RNA, 1359 nt
Organism: Varroa destructor (honeybee mite)
Lineage: Eukaryota; Metazoa; Arthropoda; Arachnida; Mesostigmata; Varroidae
Source: RefSeq, a predicted model, not a curated record
GUGUGAAUUGCCACUUUAGUGGAACAUUAAAUUAGCCGAAAGGUCACCAUUGGACCGUGUAUUUAUUUUAUGCAUAGCAUAUAUAGGUAUGAAUGCUGAAUAUAGUAGGCGGUAUCAUGCGAACGGGAGUAGCAGCUGUAGCGUUAGCUGCACGAUCGUACCACCGAUCGUUAGAGACCGAUCAUUCAUCCAACAGAGCGAGUCACCGAUACGGCUGUUGCCGAUGAAGGAUUUCCCUUUCCCACCCAACUGGCCGAAACCAAAACAACACAGACGAGAUGGCUACAGGAAACCACUGUAUACGACUAGUUGCAUUGUCUAUUUCGCAUCUUCGUUCGGCUGCCUCUGUCAUAAACGAACCAAUGGCAAUGUGUGGCAACGUCAGCUGACAUGGGCCGGAACCUUCUGUUUUGUCGUUGCUAGCAGAUGAAAGGAAUGUCGCUGAUCGCGGUGAUGAUGAUCAUGAUCUGUGUUGUCUGUUUGGUUCUCCGGCGGUGCAGCAGUUUCGUGAAUUCUCACAAUGUCAAUGAAUUAACUUUCAGCCUGCGGCAAAGUAAUCGCGAAAUGGUUAAAGCGUUUUGUAUGACUCUUACCAAAUCAGUCUACUUAUAGGCCUGGUAGUCCCGACCGAGCGUAUGAGAUUUAAGCUGUUACAAAGAAGCAUUUCAUAGUGUCUAUUAAGCAUAUUGCAAGUCGCCUAAUUGCAUAGGGUCAGCGUUUUGAACGUAACCGAGAACGACGGAUGCCUUUAACUCUGAACUGUUGAUGACUUCACCCAUCUCAACAGCUUUAUAAAGCAACGACUAUAGGUUAACCUAUAGCCGAAGUGGCGGUUUUUAAUAGUGCAGUUGUGGUGGAAGUAGCUGUACUGGGAUAAUCGACAAUGAACAAAAUUACUUUGCUACCAUUUGGGCCUGUUGAAGAAGGCCUAGAAGAGUCCAGCAAGUCCCCCAUUGACCGGUCCUUGAAGCAACAACAAGCGGGUAUUUUUGUAUUAUAUGUGGGAUAACCCAAAUCGAGGCUAAACAAAGCAUAUGCUCCAAAGACUGAUUGUGCUUCACCGGCCUACACAAUGAACGUAUUUUUUGCCCCAUGCACCUAUACUAUACAAGAGAUGUGGUCACGAGAAGUGGUUUUCGUGUAUCGAUACCAAAAACGCUAAUUAGUUUAGGAUAUGUUUCAUAUCUCUACAACGAAACAAUGCGUUGCUUAGUUUCUAACAACACUAUAAAUAAUCAUGUAGCAAAAAUGGCCACAUGUUCAUUUGAAUAAUGUAGUAGACGAAGUAUCUGCUACAUACUGGUGGCUUUGCAUAGAUGCACACGGAACAUAGGCCCCUGCUCACACAGCCAAUACAGG